UGAAAUUGCUGAAAGGGAAGCGAAUGGAACCAGCUCAACUUGGCGAGAUUGCUGCGUGUCAAUGUGAUUGCUUGCUGCUUCAACGUAAGUGUGGUAGUAAGUCUUGAGCAGGACAUGCGCGGUGCUUCUUGCCUUGUGUGUCACUGUCAGUUCGCAACUGAGGAAAACUUCAGAGACAUGGUAGCCUGCUCCCGGGUGGGUGAAUGUGUCUGCUGGAACUCAUUUGUGGACUACCUGCUGACUAAAUGGUUCCAUCCGACCCGUCUUGAAACACGGACCAAGGAGUCUAACAUAUGUGCAAGUUCACGGGUGUUAAACCUGCUUGCGUAAUGAAAGUGACUGCUGGGAUCUUUGCACCAGCAACCGACCAAUCAAUUGAGAGAGGUUUGAGUAUGAGCAUAUCUGUUAGGACCCGAAAGA
RNAcentral lists this ribosomal RNA (420 nucleotides) under Gymnodinium sp. CS381. RNAcentral's name for it is "LSU rRNA". It matches the Rfam family "Eukaryotic large subunit ribosomal RNA", at positions 400 to 823 of the family's 3401-position model. Lineage: Eukaryota; Dinophyceae; Gymnodiniales; Gymnodiniaceae. The record is from RNAcentral.